GCAGAUUUGUCUCUCCCGCUCGGGAGCCCGGUGGAUCCUCUCCCACCUCCCCACCUCGCCCCCCGCCUUUAUUUUUUUUUCCUGCAGGUCUUCAUUUAAUUUGUUUUUCCCCCUGCUGCAAGCCUUCUUGGGUGUAUAUACACAUUUAUUUUGCACCGAGAAGGAAGAGCGCUUUAUAAGUUAAAAUACAGUGGGGGCAUAUGUGUAUUUUUUUCCCCACUGUGGAUGCCAAUAUUUUUGAGACUGGAAGCCUAAAUUUUUUGUUGGAAACCAUUUCGUUUCCGUUUCUUGCCUCUUACCGCCGAAGAGUGCAAGGCCUUUCAUGAGCUGGAGGAGGGAAUGAUAUUCAGUGGUGUUUUUCUCAGGUGAAAGGAGCAGUAGAUGAUGAUGUAGCAGAAGAUCACUUAUUUGAGACAUAGUCCUCAAGUGGAAUUAUGAAAUCAAAGAGUGACUCCAUAAAGUGCCUCACAACACAAGAGCUGAGCAGAUAUAAUUUCUACAGUAGAAUUUAAUCAUUCUGGAGAAUUACUAGCAACAGGAGAUAAAGGUGGUAGAGUCGUCAUCUUUCAACAAGAGCAGGAGCGCCUUUGACCUGAGGAUCUCAAAGUGCUUUACAAACACUAAUGAAUUAAUCCUCACAACACCCCAGUGAG
RNAcentral lists this small RNA (653 nucleotides) under Pongo abelii (Sumatran orangutan). RNAcentral describes it as "processed transcript". Lineage: Eukaryota; Metazoa; Chordata; Mammalia; Primates; Hominidae. The record is from RNAcentral.